GAUGAACGCUGGCGGCGUGCCUAAUACAUGCAAGUCGAGCGAACAGAUGAGGAGCUUGCUCCUCUGACGUUAGCGGCGGACGGGUGAGUAACACGUGGAUAACCUACCUAUAAGACUGGGAUAACUUCGGGAAACCGGAGCUAAUACCGGAUAAUAUAUUGAACCGCAUGGUUCAAUAGUGAAAGACGGUUUUGCUGUCACUUAUAGAUGGAUCCGCGCCGCAUUAGCUAGUUGGUAAGGUAACGGCUUACCAAGGCAACGAUGCGUAGCCGACCUGAGAGGGGGAUCGGCCACACUGGAACUGAGACACGGUCCAGACUCCUACGGGAGGCAGCAGUAGGGAAUCUUCCGCAAUGGGCGAAAGCCUGACGGAGCAACGCCGCGUGAGUGAUGAAGGUCUUCGGAUCGUAAAACUCUGUUAUUAGGGAAGAACAAAUGUGUAAGUAACGAUGCACGUCUUGACGGUACCUAAUCAGAAAGCCACGGCUAACUACGU
RNAcentral lists this ribosomal RNA (496 nucleotides) under uncultured bacterium. RNAcentral describes it as "partial 16S ribosomal RNA". It matches the Rfam family "Bacterial small subunit ribosomal RNA", at positions 28 to 506 of the family's 1533-position model. The record is from RNAcentral.